Molecule: transfer RNA, 77 nt
Filed under: Candidatus Aerophobota bacterium
Lineage: Bacteria; Candidatus Aerophobota
Also listed under: 1 other name
Description: Candidatus Aerophobetes bacterium tRNA-Arg
Rfam family: tRNA
About the family: Transfer RNA (tRNA) molecules are approximately 80 nucleotides in length. Their secondary structure includes four short double-helical elements and three loops (D, anti-codon, and T loops).
Source: RNAcentral
GCGCCUGUAGCUCAAGCGGAUAGAGCGACGGAUUGCGGAUCCGUAGGUUGGGGGUUCGAGUCCCCCCAAGCGCACCA